AUGGUGUAGUGGUUAGCACUCUGGACUUUGAAUCCAGCGACGAACCUUAAAGUGUUUU
RNAcentral lists this transfer RNA (58 nucleotides) under Cajanus cajan (pigeon pea). It matches the Rfam family "tRNA", at positions 7 to 64 of the family's 71-position model. From Rfam's summary of the family: Transfer RNA (tRNA) molecules are approximately 80 nucleotides in length. Their secondary structure includes four short double-helical elements and three loops (D, anti-codon, and T loops). Lineage: Eukaryota; Viridiplantae; Streptophyta; Magnoliopsida; Fabales; Fabaceae. The record is from Rfam by way of RNAcentral.